CGAAAACUGUUCACGAAGGCACAAAACGGUGAACAACUUUUGCUGCGACAGAAGAUAUGGAGAUUACUAGGCCGGUACUAAAAGAGCUCCCGGUGGCUCUUACUCCCUCAGUGCUGUCGUUUUGAAGACAGGCAAGAGUGACAUCUCCAACCCCCCACCCAAACACAACAAUGGGGUGGUGUUGUGUUUGGUGGAGGGAAGAACAAUAUGAUUGCAGAUAAACAAACAAGCAAAAAUGACACACAAGCAAAACCAACAUUCCUCAUCUACCGAGAAGGAAAAAAGCAACCUCGGAAACUCUAACCUGUGAAUAUGCGGCCAACUUCCCGCUCCUUCAGUUCUCUCCAGUGCUGGAAAGCUGAUCCUAUAUUAACACGGGUCCUACUUCUUGCCUCAUCUUUUUCUUCCCAAGAUUCAAAAAAAGCCUUGAGCACCUGUGGGAAGCCCGGAACAACCAUGCUUUGCGUACAGAAAACAAUCGAACACCUACUCAAAUCCUGAGGAUUCCUCUGGACACUGUACAGGAGGUGGGAGAAAGGAGGAUGGUAGCAAAACUAUCAUCAUUGCUAGGGAACAACUCUCACCCCCCUUAUGAAAUGGUUUCCUCUCUCAGCAGCUCCUUCAGUGACAGACUGUUACAUCCUAAGGGUCUGAAGAAGUGAUACAGAUGGUCCUUUCUCCCUGCUGCUAUUGGACUUUACAAUCAAAGCUGCUCCCAGUGAACCAGUCACCAUAAUACACACUGUUAUUACUGUGUCACUGCAAUAAUAAACAAUAACAAAGUAUUCAAAACGUGCAAUAACAGAAAUUUUUAAAAAUGUGCAAUAUUGACUAUGUGCCGUAUGUCUUCCGUGUAACCACUUUUUUAUUCAUUUUUGUUUUUUAAUAUACUGUAUAUUAUGUCUUUAUACUUUAUUCAUUUUAUAUAUUUUUGUUGCUGUAAAAGAGAAAUUUCCCCAUUGUGGGACAAAUAAAGGUAUAUCUUAUCUUAUCUUAUCUUAUCUUGGAAGGAAGGCAUUCUCUUAAAUAUGGACAAUGCACGGUGCUGCACUCAACAAUGUGUUUGGGGAAAAUCCCUACAGACCACAAAAUUUGGAGGCAGUUCUGACGCCACUUGGAAUUGACUCUUUACCCACUACUGAUGAUGAUCUAACUGCUUUAAUUGAAAGGCAAUCUCAAAUCAAUCUCAGUCAACAGCAACAGGAGCCAAUCUCUAUUAAUCACAUUUCAGAUUUAAAGAUAAAGUAUCUGACAUGCUGUAAAGAAAUUUCAAAUGCUAUCGAAACCUAAAACAUAAAAUCACAACUGAAUGCAUCCACUGUUGUCAGAGCACAAGAGAUAUUUUUCCUCUUACUGUAUUAUAAGGUUUAUACAUUUGUUUAUAUUGCAAUUAAUUAAUGUAAUGUUCACUUGACAUACAGUCUAAAUGAGGUCUAAAACAAACCAUGCUUUUACUCUAAAACCUUCUGACCCCUUUAGGUGUAUUGUUAUCUGCAUACAUCUGUCAACACAGCAAGUUCUUUACCAGUGUGAAAGUAUGUGUGCAUACAUUCAGUUUGCAUUUUGUUAGACUCUACAGUUCUCAGUGAAAUUUGCUGCCUUCCUUUGUUUAACACAACAUCGUUGAAAAUUGCAGAUGACCUUGCUUGUACUUUAUAUAUUUUGGAACAUUACAUGCGUAUAAUUUUCAGUUCUUGGAGAAUGUGUAGAUGUUGUUAUUCUUACUUUGCUUGUGUGUUUACUCCUGGCAAAAUGUAAGCAAAACAAAUGUGUUCAGGAAUCAUUAUUUGUUGAAUAUGAUAAAAAAGAGAAAUAAGAAUUGAUGAUUGAAGAUUUCACAAUAAAUGGUCUGGUCCAUUGGCCCUUCGAUGUGGAAAAUUCAACCUGUACCUUUAUCAGAGAAACAGCCCCAAUGCAUGAUGUUUCAUGUCCAAUGGUUUGGUGAUGGUGGUCUCAACUGCCUUGAGAUCAUUCACAAGCUCCUUCUGUGUAGUUCUGGGCUGAUCCCUCACUUUUCCCAUGAUUAUCCUUACCAUCAUGAGGUGAAAUCUUUAGAUUAGUUAAGAUUAGAUUAUGUUUAUUAUCUCUGCACAUAUGGUACAAGCCAUCGACCUACAGUAGGUACCUAACCAGAAGUGCAUUUGUUGCAGUGCAAAAUAAUUUCCAUAUGUAAACAGCACACAGAGAAGGAGUUAUAUACAAUGCAAUAAAGGAAGAUCUUGUAUACUAAGGUAAUGAUAUUGUAUCUUAAGGAGGUUAUAUACAUGCAAUACAUGUUAUGGAGAGUGGAGUGGGGGAGAUUAUUAUGUACAAUAUGUUCAGAAGUUAUAAAUAGUGCAAUCCUCGAGUGUUUAAAUUUAUGUACAGUGGUGAGUUAUGAGCAGCAAUUAGCUUCUUGCUGAUAGCCUUGUAGCCCACUCUAGCCAUUGUGCAGGUUUACAAUCAUCUCCCUUAUGUCCUUUGACAACUAUUUGGUCUUGCCCAUGGUGCUGAUGUUUGAAUGGAAUAUAGAGAUUCUGUGAACUUUUUAUACAUAAGGUGUCUUUUAUAUACAUAAAGAGUUGUUGUUAGGAGCACUUCUUAAAUUAAUCCAUGUACCACAUGAGCACAUAACCAGUCUGUAGGAGGUAGAAUUAUUGUUGGUGGUUAGGGGAUAUAAUACUUAUGUUGCUUUUUUCUUUGGAUUGAUAUUCUAUCUCUAUCCUACAUUCUGUCUUUAUUAAAUAAACCAGUGAUAAAAAUAAUAGACC
Molecule: long non-coding RNA, 2750 nt
Organism: Tachysurus fulvidraco (yellow catfish)
Lineage: Eukaryota; Metazoa; Chordata; Actinopteri; Siluriformes; Bagridae
Exons: 3
Source: RefSeq, a predicted model, not a curated record